RNAcentral lists this ribosomal RNA (507 nucleotides) under uncultured Glomeromycotina. RNAcentral describes it as "SSU rRNA". It matches the Rfam family "Eukaryotic small subunit ribosomal RNA", at positions 569 to 1077 of the family's 1831-position model. Lineage: Eukaryota; Fungi; Glomeromycota. The record is from RNAcentral.
AGCAGCCGCGGUAAUUCCAGCUCCAAUAGCGUAUAUUUAAGUUGUUGCAGUUAAAAAGCUCGUAGUUGAAUUUCGGGGUUAGUAGGUUGGUCAUGCCUCUGGUAUGUACUGGUCUCACUGAUUCCUCCUUCCUGAUGAACCUUAAUGCCAUUAAUUUGGUGUUUUGGGGAAUUUGGACUGUUACUUUGAAAAAAUUAGAGUGUUUAAAGCAAGCUAACGCUUGAAUACAUUAGCAUGGAAUAAUGAAAUAGGACGUUCGAUCCUAUUUUGUUGGUUCCUAGGAUUGACGUAAUGAUUAAUAGGGAUAGUUGGGGGCAUUAGUAUUCAAUUGUCAGAGGUGAAAUUCUUGGAUUUAUUGAAGACUAACUACUGCGAAAGCAUUUGCCAAGGAUGUUUUCAUUAAUCAAGAACGAAAGUUAGGGGAUCGAAGACGAUCAGAUACCGUCGUAGUCUUAACCAUAAACUAUGCCGACUAGGGAUCGGAUGAUGUUAAUUUUUUAAUGACUC